Molecule: ribosomal RNA, 406 nt
Filed under: uncultured bacterium
Lineage: Bacteria
Description: partial 16S ribosomal RNA
Rfam family: Bacterial small subunit ribosomal RNA
Source: RNAcentral
AUUGAACGCUGGCGGCAGGCCUAACACAUGCAAGUCGAACGCGUCGCGGACGGGUGAGUAAUGUCUGGGAAACUGCCUGAUGGAGGGGGAUCACCUCGGGAAACGGUAGCUAAUCCCGCAUACCCUGAUGUGUGCCCAUAUGGGAUUAGCUUGUUGGAGGGGUAACGGCUCACCAAGGCGACGAUCCCUAGCUGGUCUGAGAGGAUGACCAGCCACACUGGGACUGAGACACGGCCCAGACUCCUACGGGAGGCAGCAGUGGGGAAUAUUGCACAAUGGGCGCAAGCCUGAUGCAGCCAUGCCGCGUGUAUGAAGAAGGCCUUAGGGUUGUAAAGUACUUUCAGCGGGGAGGCGUUACCGACAGAAGAAGCACCGGCUAACUCCGUGCCAGCAGCCGCGGUAAUAC